This 336-nucleotide unclassified non-coding RNA is filed under the name soil metagenome. Its description in RNAcentral is "partial contains 5.8S ribosomal RNA, internal transcribed spacer 2, and large subunit ribosomal RNA". The stretch from base 1 to 120 matches the Rfam family "5.8S ribosomal RNA", at positions 35 to 154 of the family's 154-position model. The record is from RNAcentral.
GAUGAAGAACGCAGCGAAAUGCGAUAAGUAAUGUGAAUUGCAGAAUUCCGUGAAUCAUCGAAUCUUUGAACGCACAUUGCGCCCCCUGGUAUUCCGGGGGGCAUGCCUGUCCGAGCGUCAUUGCAACCUUCAAGCGCGGCUUGUGUGUUGGGUCUCGUCCCCCGUGGACGGGCCCGAAAGGCAGUGGCGGCGUCCCGACAUGGUGCCCGAGCGUAUGGGAAUCCUCUUCCGCUCGAAUCGGCCCAUGCGGCGCUGGUCGUAACCAAAUUUUUUACCGGUUGACCUCGGAUCAGGUAGGGAUACCCGCUGAACUUAAGCAUAUGAAUAAGCGGAGGA